Molecule: ribosomal RNA, 253 nt
Filed under: uncultured bacterium
Lineage: Bacteria
Description: partial 16S ribosomal RNA
Rfam family: Bacterial small subunit ribosomal RNA
Source: RNAcentral
UACAGAGGUGGCAAGCGUUGUUCGGAAUUACUGGGCGUAAAGGGCGCGUAGGCGGUCAUCUAAGUCAGACGUGAAAUCCCCCGGCUUAACCUGGGAACUGCGUCUGAUACUGGAUGGCUUGAGUGCGGGAGAGGGAUGCGGAAUUCCAGGUGUAGCGGUGAAAUGCGUAGAUAUCUGGAGGAACACCGGUGGCGAAGGCGGCAUCCUGGACCGACACUGACGCUGAAGCGCGAAAGCUAGGGUAGCAAACGGG